Molecule: ribosomal RNA, 427 nt
Filed under: uncultured bacterium
Lineage: Bacteria
Description: bacterial SSU rRNA
Rfam family: Bacterial small subunit ribosomal RNA
Source: RNAcentral
UGGGGAAUAUUGGACAAUGGGCGCAAGCCUGAUCCAGCCAUGCCGCGUGUGUGAAGAAGGCCUUCGGGUUGUAAAGCACUUUUGUCCGGAAAGAAAGCGAAUCGGCGAAUACCCGGUUUGGAUGACGGUACCGGAAGAAUAAGCACCGGCUAACUUCGUGCCAGCAGCCGCGGUAAUACGAAGGGUGCAAGCGUUACUCGGAAUUACUGGGCGUAAAGCGUGCGUAGGCGGGAUAAAAAGUCAGUGGUGAAAUCCUACAGCUUAACUGUAGAACUGCCUUUGAUACUUUUAUUCUUGAGUUCGGGAGAGAGAGACGGAAUUCCAGGUGUAGUGGUGAAAUACGUAGAUAUCUGGAAGAACACCAGUUGCGAAGGCGGUCUCUUGGUCCGACACUGACGCCGAGGCGCGAAAGCGUGGGGAGCAAACA